Molecule: ribosomal RNA, 369 nt
Filed under: uncultured bacterium
Lineage: Bacteria
Description: partial 16S ribosomal RNA
Rfam family: Bacterial small subunit ribosomal RNA
Source: RNAcentral
CCUACGGGUGGCAGCAGUGAGGAAUAUUGGUCAAUGGACGAGAGUCUGAACCAGCCAAGUAGCGUGAAGGAUGACUGCCCUAUGGGUUGUAAACUUCUUUUAUAUGGGAAUAAAAUGUUCCACGUGUGGGAUUUUGUAUGUACCAUAUGAAUAAGGAUCGGCUAACUCCGUGCCAGCAGCCGCGGUAAUACGGAGGAUCCGAGCGUUAUCCGGAUUUAUUGGGUUUAAAGGGAGCGUAGGUGGAUUGUUAAGUCAGUUGUGACAGUUGGCGGCUCAACCGUAAAAUUGCAGUUGAAACUGGCAGGCGGGAGUGGAGUAGAGGUGGGGGGAAGUGGUGGGGUAGGGGUGAAAUGCGGAGAUAGGACGAAG